Molecule: ribosomal RNA, 253 nt
Filed under: uncultured bacterium
Lineage: Bacteria
Description: partial 16S ribosomal RNA
Rfam family: Bacterial small subunit ribosomal RNA
Source: RNAcentral
UACAGAGGGGGCAAGCGUUAUUCGGAAUUAUUGGGCGUAAAGGGCGCGUAGGCGGCCUGGCAAGUGGAAGGUGAAAUCCCUCGGCUUAACCGAGGAACUGCCUCCCAAACUGCUUGGCUUGAGACCGGUAGAGGUGAGUGGAAUUCCCAGUGUAGCGGUGAAAUGCGUAGAUAUUGGGAGGAACACCAGUGGCGAAGGCGGCUCACUGGACCGGUACUGACGCUGAUGCGCGAAAGCGUGGGGAGCAAACGGG